GUGGGCGUAGCGUAGCUUGGUUAACGCGUCAGAUUGUGGCUCUGAAGAUCGUGGGUUCGAAUCCCACCUCCCACCCCA
RNAcentral lists this transfer RNA (78 nucleotides) under Oscillospiraceae bacterium. RNAcentral's name for it is "tRNA-His". It matches the Rfam family "tRNA". From Rfam's summary of the family: Transfer RNA (tRNA) molecules are approximately 80 nucleotides in length. Their secondary structure includes four short double-helical elements and three loops (D, anti-codon, and T loops). Further hydrogen bonds mediate the characteristic L-shaped molecular structure. tRNAs have two regions of fundamental functional importance: the anti-codon, which is responsible for specific mRNA codon recognition, and the 3' end, to which the tRNAs corresponding amino acid is attached (by aminoacyl-tRNA synthetases). tRNAs cope with the degeneracy of the genetic code in two manners: having more than one tRNA (with a specific anti-codon) for a particular amino acid; and 'wobble' base-pairing, i.e. permitting non-standard base-pairing at the 3rd anti-codon position. The record is from RNAcentral. Lineage: Bacteria; Bacillati; Bacillota; Clostridia; Eubacteriales; Oscillospiraceae.